Pelodiscus sinensis (Chinese soft-shelled turtle) is the source of this 3508-nucleotide non-coding RNA. The record is from RefSeq and is a predicted model, not a curated record. NCBI's taxonomy places the organism in Eukaryota, Metazoa, Chordata, Testudines, Trionychidae.
GUCAGUUUUCCAUCAAUGAGGGGGGAGGAAGGAACGUAGGCAUGCAGUUCAAAUUAACCAAGUCAGGAGUUGUGCAUUUGUGGCUACCUCUGAGUCCAAGGGAAUGUUAAUGGUCUAUCUAUGCAAUGUGAAAAAUACAAAGCAAAUUAUUCCAAAGCCGCUUUUAUCCAUUAGCUAAAGGGCAGUGGGUAGGGAAGAGGAAAGAUAAUGCUUAAUUUAGGCAUGGGUACAUUUGGCUAUUGUCAGUUACAGGACCAGAACUUGCAGGGAUCUACUGCUCCAUUGCCAAACUUUUCAGUGAAUGAACACGACUGAUCAAUAAAACCUCAGGCAUGUCUUGAUAAAUUUUAGGCUAGUGGUAGGAACAACAGCAAUAUAUUAAACUAAAACAUAACCUUUUUGGAAGAAUUCUGAGGAGUAAUUAAUUGGGCAUCAUGCGGCAGUUUUCAGUCACAUGGUUAGGAGUCCUAAUGAUGAAAUCCUACAGUCACUUUGAACUAUUAAAGAACAAUUAUUGAAACAUUAUGAAUGUGUCCUGAUUACUUUCCUCUCAAAACUAACCAUAUUUUGCACUUGCAUCAUAGAUAUCUUUAGUUGCUUCUAAAGUGCCUGCUUAGAGUGGGUGCGUGUGUGUGGAGAGACAGCACACCUUUUGUCUGAGGAUGUCCAACUGCUUUGCAAACACUAAUGAAAUAAACCUUGCAACAUGCACCUAGGUAAAUAUUGCAUCUGCAGAGAACAAAACUCAGGCAUACCUAGGAAAGGUGACUUGCUAAAGGUCGCAGUAAUAAUGUAGCACUCAGAACUUCUUGAGUCUCUUCCUGUGCUUAGCCAUAAAGUCGUCUUUCCUUUUUUAUAGCAGUCGAAGCAAACUAAGGCCAGAUUCUUCUGUCAAUGUGAUCCUAUGCAUGAAUUUCCAUAUCUCUGUACAGCUGAGUGAAAGUAGGGUAGUAAAAAUAAAUCCAAACCCACAGUAGGCUCUUGAUGAAGAAAGGGGAUCUCUGAUUUCUACUCCUGUAGCACAGAGUCAGUCUUCAACCAAUAACUAGUUGUGUGUGUGCCAAUAUAUACCUGUUUGGAUGGAGUUGGAUUUGUUUGGAUUCAUGGUAAUUUGAUUUGGCUGCCAAACACAAAACUGACACCUUAUUUAUUCUCCAUCUAUGCAUCAACUGUGACAUUGCCUAGAGCACAUAUCUAUGUUUUUCCUCAAAAAUCAGCAUCAAACCAUCUAUCCUGAAAGUCUGCUCCACAAUAGCUUGUCAUGGAAAUCUGGCUUAUUUUAGAAAAUCCCACCCCCCGAGCCCUUCCCCACCGCUCAACUACAACAGGGAAACCAUGUGGAACUGGAAUAACUGCUGUUCUGGGAGUAUGGAAAAGUCCUGAGGCUCCCAUUCAUGCACUGCAGUCAUGAUAACACUGUGUUCUAUUAAGUGGCAUAACUGAAGUCAGUGCAAUGCACCUGUUUAUUAUAAUUUAGCUCUUGUAAAUGAGCAGGGAUCUUGUCUGCCAGGCAUCAGAAGCAUUACAAAACGUUUAGCACGUUUGGUGACCAUGGACAGAUAAUCAUUAAUGGAUUUUAACAUCUCACUGAUGAGAGCGGGAAAUGCUAUCCACAUUUUACAGGGGUUUCCAUAUCAAUCUCUUUAUUAUUUUACCUUUGACCAAGCAAGAGGAAUAAGGAAUUCCCUCCACACCCAAUGUGAAGGUGACUUGGUGAGUGUACAGAAGUGAACAAAAGCUAGUGUCCACAAGGAGUCCUACACAUUAAACAAGACCAUUCAUUCAACAAGAAUGGAAAGAAAAACAUCAGAAUUGCAUUAUAACUAACUUUUGGGUUGGUUAGUACAUGCCAGAGCUUAUCCUUCUGUAGCUGAAACACACAGUCUUCUAACAAUGCCAGUCUCUGAGUUUCAGGAAAAGACCCAUUCUUAAACCCCUGAUGCCAAAUUAAAACAUAAUGUACCCUAUUGUAUUCUGAUUCCCAACUUCUUAUGUUUCUUAUAACUCAGUGUUACGGACAGAUUCUCACCUGCCUGUCAGCUCAGGAAAGACACUUUAUCAUUGGGUUGGGUUUUACACACUUGACACAAGUAUAUAUAACCCUGAUGGUAGAUUGUAGUCUCCUUGCAGGCUAUGUGAUGAAGGUUUCUCAAUAGAUCAUCAGCCAGAUACACAAUUGUAAACCUAGGGUUCCUUUUUAAUGCAUCCUAUGAAAAGUAAAACUAGAGAGAGAAUCACAUUCCAGAAGGAAUCUGAUUUGCUGUGACAUCAGGGCCUUGUGUGUACAAAUUGGUGGCUACCAGACAAACACAGCCUUCCCAGCAUGUAACACUAGCUCGUACGCAAGCUCAAGAAAGAUCUCUUUGUCUAUAACUCUGCUUGCUUGCUACAUUACUUGUUGGUAAUGAACCAGUCUCAGCAUUUUCAAGGCCUCAUAUUGCUCAACUGCUAGAAUGGCCUCUUGGAAUUAAGCAGGUGGUGUUAAUUACAGAGCCUAGCUUCUUUGCCUAAAGGGAUUGUGUCCACACUGGACAGUAUUCAGCUGAGGUGUCAAAAAGUGCCAGUGUUUCUGAUCACAGAGUGGACAGGAUGUAACCAGCUCGCUGAGACAGUGGGUUUGUAUGGUAACCUUGGCUUUAAUUUUUGUUUAAUGUGGACUCUAAUGGAGAUUGUGGAUUGAGAGUAAGACCAAGUUACACAGGACUGAUGGAAUGAGUGAGUAGCUUUAAGAGAGCAGCGUUAAUGCUGCUCUAAUUUAUACUGGCAGUGACCCAGUGGUUGAAUGGUUCAUGGGGGAAGGGACUAUAAAUGAUGCUGUUGUAAAAACCAAAAAGCACUUGGUGCUGCUGAUGAGUCACAGAUUUAUUUUUAUUGUUAAUCAUGCAUAUUAUAAUAGUGCUUAGGGACCAGCUGAGAACAGAGCCCCACUGUGUUAGGUACUGUGCAAACAUAGAAGAAGAGCACAUCUCCUCCCCCAAAUGCUUGUAAUCGACAUAGGUGGGACAGACAAAGGGUAAGGGAACAGGACAGAAAAUACAAGCAGAGCACACAGUGUGACGGCCGUAGUUGUCAUGUUCUGCAGCUUGAUUGUUUUUUCUUUUUUUUAUAGAAAUGUCAGUGGAGUUAUAUUAGGAAGAGAUUAGCUAGACAGAGAGACAAAGGAAGGGUGGUGGGGGACUAUGAGUGACAAGCAGGAGGGUGUGGAGCAAAAAGUCAAUCAGCAUGAGAGUUCAUGAAAACAAACUCCAAUCUGAUGACAUCAUGAUUUACACAAAUGCCCAGGGAAGCACAAGGUGCAAAUGAUCUGUGAAUCACCAAAUAGCACAAGAUGUUUGGCAUAUGAGAAAGUACUCUUGUGAAUGCACUGAACAUCCUUGACCAGGGCUACUCAACUUUGGAAGCCCUGGGGGCCCAAAGUGAUACUCACAGCCCAUGCAGAGGGCCUCAACUUCAGUGUGGUUGCAUAUAUAUAUAUGCAAAUAUAUAUGCAAAAUAUGCAAAUAGUUUC